This 77-nucleotide ribosomal RNA is filed under the name Protoceratium reticulatum. RNAcentral's name for it is "partial 5.8S ribosomal RNA". The record is from RNAcentral. Lineage: Eukaryota; Dinophyceae; Gonyaulacales; Protoceratiaceae.
GACCUUGAUCCCGCCUUACCCAUAUGCAGCGUGCAUGACUGCCGGAUGGGCAUGUGCUCCUGGCACGACACCGAUGG